CCUACGGGAGGCAGCAGUAAGGAAUAUUGGUCAAUGGGCGCAAGCCUGAACCAGCCAUGCCGCGUGCAGGAAGACGGCCCUAUGGGUUGUAAACUGCUUUUGUCAGGGAAUAAACCCCCGCUCGUGAGCGGGGCUGAAGGUACCUGAAGAAUAAGCAUCGGCUAACUCCGUGCCAGCAGCCGCGGUAAUACGGAGGAUGCAAGCGUUAUCCGGAUUCAUUGGGUUUAAAGGGUGCGCAGGCGGAUUGGUAAGUCAGGGGUGAAAUCCCACAGCUCAACUGUGGAACUGCCUUUGAUACUGUCAGUCUAGAGUAUAGUUGAAGUUGGCGGAAUGUGUCAUGUAGCGGUGAAAUGCUUAGAUAUGACACAGAACACCGAUCGCGAAGGCAGCUAGCUAAGCUAUAACUGACGCUCAUGCACGAAAGCGUGGGGAUCAAACAG
Molecule: ribosomal RNA, 440 nt
Filed under: uncultured Lentimicrobium sp.
Lineage: Bacteria; Pseudomonadati; Bacteroidota; Bacteroidia; Bacteroidales; Lentimicrobiaceae
Description: bacterial SSU rRNA
Rfam family: Bacterial small subunit ribosomal RNA
Source: RNAcentral